GACGAAGGGGGCUAGCGUUGUUCGGAAUUACUGGGCGUAAAGGGCUCGUAGGCGGCCAACUAAGUCGGACGUGAAAUCCCCAGGCUCAACCUGGGAACUGUGUCCGAUACUGGAUGGCUUGAAUCCGGGAGAGGGAUGCAGAAUUCCAGGUGUAGCGGUGAAAUGCGUAGAUAUCUGGAGGAAUACCGGUGGCGAAGGCGGCAUCCUGGACCGGCAUUGACGCUGAGGAGCGAAAGCCAGGGGAGCAAACGGG
This 253-nucleotide ribosomal RNA is filed under the name uncultured bacterium. Its description in RNAcentral is "partial 16S ribosomal RNA". It matches the Rfam family "Bacterial small subunit ribosomal RNA", at positions 524 to 776 of the family's 1533-position model. The record is from RNAcentral.